RNAcentral lists this ribosomal RNA (497 nucleotides) under uncultured bacterium. RNAcentral describes it as "partial 16S ribosomal RNA". It matches the Rfam family "Bacterial small subunit ribosomal RNA", at positions 28 to 507 of the family's 1533-position model. The record is from RNAcentral.
GAUGAACGCUGGCGGCGUGCCUAAUACAUGCAAGUCGAGCGAACAGAUGAGGAGCUUGCUCCUCUGACGUUAGCGGCGGACGGGUGAGUAACACGUGGAUAACCUACCUAUAAGACUGGGAUAACUUCGGGAAACCGGAGCUAAUACCGGAUAAUAUAUUGAACCGCAUGGUUCAAUAGUGAAAGACGGUUUUGCUGUCACUUAUAGAUGGAUCCGCGCCGCAUUAGCUAGUUGGUAGGGUAACGGCUUACCAAGGCAACGAUGCGUAGCCGACCUGAGAGGGGGAUCGGCCACACUGGAACUGAGACAGGGUCCAGACUCCUACGGGAGGCAGCAGUAGGGAAUCUGCCGCAAUGGGCGAAAGCCUGACGGAGCAACGCCGCGUGAGUGAUGAAGGUCUUCGGAUCGUAAAACUCUGUUAUGAGGGAAGAACAAAUGUGUAAGUAACUAUGCACGUCUUGACGGUACCUAAUCAGAAAGCCACGGCUAACUACGUG